UGGGUAAUCCACUCUUUGGUGGGGAAUAACCCUGGGAAACCGGGGCUAAUACCGCAUAAGCCCCCAUUGAAUAAAUGGUGGGGAAAGGUGAAAAUCGCCGAAGAAGGAGCCCGCGGCUGAUUAGCUAGUUGGUGGGGUAAAAGCUCACCAAGGCGAAGAUCGGUAGCCGGCCUGAGAGGGCACACGGCCACACUGGCACUGAAACACGGGCCAGACUCCUACGGGAGGCAG
RNAcentral lists this ribosomal RNA (231 nucleotides) under uncultured bacterium. Its description in RNAcentral is "partial 16S ribosomal RNA". It matches the Rfam family "Bacterial small subunit ribosomal RNA", at positions 118 to 351 of the family's 1533-position model. The record is from RNAcentral.